Molecule: ribosomal RNA, 301 nt
Filed under: uncultured bacterium
Lineage: Bacteria
Description: partial 16S ribosomal RNA
Rfam family: Bacterial small subunit ribosomal RNA
Source: RNAcentral
CAGUAGCCGCGGUAAUACGUAGGGUGCAAGCGUUAAUCGGAAUUACUGGGCGUAAAGCGUGCGCAGGCGGUUAUAUAAGACAGAUGUGAAAUCCCCGGGCUCAACCUGGAACUGCAUUUGUGACUGUAUAGCUAGAGUACGGCAGAGGGGGAUGGAAUUCCGCGUGUAGCAGUGAAAUGCGUAGAUAUGCGGAGGAACACCGAUGGCGAAGGCAAUCCCCUGGGCCUGUACUGACGCUCAUGCACGAAAGCGUGGGGAGCAAACAGGAUUAGAUACCCCCGUAGUCCCUGUCUCUUAUACA